This 656-nucleotide ribosomal RNA is filed under the name Salmonella enterica. Its description in RNAcentral is "partial 23S ribosomal RNA". It matches the Rfam family "Bacterial large subunit ribosomal RNA", at positions 2148 to 2803 of the family's 2925-position model. Lineage: Bacteria; Pseudomonadati; Pseudomonadota; Gammaproteobacteria; Enterobacterales; Enterobacteriaceae. The record is from RNAcentral.
UGGGAGGCUUUGAAGCGUGGACGCCAGUCUGCGUGGAGCCGACCUUGAAAUACCACCCUUUAAUGUUUGAUGUUCUAACGUGGACCCGUGAUCCGGGUUGCGGACAGUGUCUGGUGGGUAGUUUGACUGGGGCGGUCUCCUCCUAAAGAGUAACGGAGGAGCACGAAGGUUGGCUAAUCCUGGUCGGACAUCAGGAGGUUAGUGCAAUGGCAUAAGCCAGCUUGACUGCGAGCGUGACGGCGCGAGCAGGUGCGAAAGCAGGUCAUAGUGAUCCGGUGGUUCUGAAUGGAAGGGCCAUCGCUCAACGGAUAAAAGGUACUCCGGGGAUAACAGGCUGAUACCGCCCAAGAGUUCAUAUCGACGGCGGUGUUUGGCACCUCGAUGUCGGCUCAUCACAUCCUGGGGCUGAAGUAGGUCCCAAGGGUAUGGCUGUUCGCCAUUUAAAGUGGUACGCGAGCUGGGUUUAGAACGUCGUGAGACAGUUCGGUCCCUAUCUGCCGUGGGCGCUGGAGAACUGAGGGGGGCUGCUCCUAGUACGAGAGGACCGGAGUGGACGCAUCACUGGUGUUCGGGUUGUCAUGCCAAUGGCACUGCCCGGUAGCUAAAUGCGGAAGAGAUAAGUGCUGAAAGCAUCUAAGCACGAAACUUGCCCCGAG